UGAAAACUGAAAAUUGUUGAACGGUUGA
RNAcentral lists this non-coding RNA (28 nucleotides) under Bombyx mori (domestic silkworm). The record is from RNAcentral. Lineage: Eukaryota; Metazoa; Arthropoda; Insecta; Lepidoptera; Bombycidae.